Molecule: long non-coding RNA, 3009 nt
Filed under: Salvia miltiorrhiza (redroot sage)
Lineage: Eukaryota; Viridiplantae; Streptophyta; Magnoliopsida; Lamiales; Lamiaceae
Description: long non-coding RNA (SMIL_LNC002461)
Source: RNAcentral
CACGCAGUUAAACCCACAACUUCUCUGCAAAACAUCCAGCAUCACAUUUUCACUCACAAAUGGAAAAUCCCUGGUUACUAUUAGCCCUACUUUCCGCACUUGCUAUAGCCCUCAUCUCAAAGAUAGUAUUCAAAACUGAUCAAAAACUCCGGCCGCCCGGUCCAAAACCAUGGCCUAUAAUAGGCAAUCUGAACCUUCUUGGCUCAAUCCCACAUCAAUCCCUCCACCAUUUAUCCCAAAAAUACGGCGAAAUAAUGUUACUAAAGUUGGGGAAAUUUCCAGUGGUGGUGGCAUCAUCACCCAAGAUGGCCGAGCAGUUCCUCAAGGUGCACGAUGCAGCCUUCGCGUCGAGGCCUCCCGCACUUGCCGCCGGCAAGCACAUCAGCUACGACAACUCUGACGUGUCCUUCUCUCCCUACGGCCCAUACUGGCGAGAAGCGCGUAAAAUAUUGAUGUCGGAGCUCUUGGGCACCAAAAAACUGGACCAGUUUGAGCAAAUUCGCGUUGAGGCGAGGCGUUCUUUCUUCUCACGUCUCAAAGCCCUGUCGGGGAAGCCGGUUGUGCUCAGAGAGCAUCUAUCGCGUUACAUUAUGUCGACAAUUUGUAGGAUGGUUAUGACGAAUGAAUAUGUUGGCGAUAGCUCUAUUAUAGAUGAUGGUGGCAUGGCGGAGAUGAUGCGCGACUGGUUUGUGCUCACUGGAGUGUUCAAUAUCGGGGACUGGAUACCGUGGCUCGGCCCUCUUGAUCUGCAGGGCUACGUUAGGAGAAUGAAGGCUUUCCGCAAGAAAUCAGACAGUUUUUUUGGGUAUGUGAUUGAUGAUCACAUAGCUAGAAGAAGAGACGGCGCCGACAAAGAUUUUGUUGAUGCCUUGCUAGAUUUAGCUGAGGAUCCUAAUGCUCAACUUCAUCUCACAAGGGACUCUCUCAAGUCAUUGAUAAUGGUACUAGUUUCUCACAUUUUUUAUUUUUAAUUCACAAAUAUUUCCUAGAAAAUUCAUACUGUUACAUGUAUAACUGCACUCUCUCUACAUAUAUUAUUGUAGAACGUUGUACUUGGCGGCCCAGACACCUCAAUCACAACAGUGGAAUGGGCCUUACACGAAAUGUUCAGACAACCGCGCAUAUUUGAGAGAGCGAGGGCAGAGCUGGAUGCAGUGAUCGGCAGGGAUAGAUGGGUGGAGGAGAAUGACUUCACUCAGUUGCCGUACGUUGAUGCCAUCAUCAUGGAGACAUUCCGCUUGCAUCCAAUUGCUACGUUUUUAGCUCCCCAUUACGCGAUUCAGGAUUGCAACGUUGCAGGUAUAAGAGAUUAAUUUCUUAUCACAUGCAUUUAUAUACCAAGUAUGAGAUGUAACACAAAAAUAUUGCAGGAUACAACAUAUCAAAAGGGACGAGCAUCCUCAUAAAUACAUGGAGCAUAGGCAGGGAUCCCAACACUUGGGAUGCGGCUGAGGAAUUCCUGCCGGAGAGGUUUAUGGGGAAACAGACCGAUAUGACCGGAGGUAACUUUGCGCUAUUGCCGUUUGGGUCGGGCAGGAGGAUAUGCCCGGCAUACAACCUCGGCCUUAAGAUUGUUCGAACAACGUUGGCUAAUCUGUUGCAUGGAUUUGAGGUGGAAUUGGAGGAGGGCAUGAGGGCUGAGGAUGUAAGCUUAGAGGAACAGUACGGACUCGCCACAAAUCCAAAACACCCUGUUUCCAUCAUUGUGAAACCUACACUUCCUGCCCAUCUAUACUAAAUUAGUUUCUCAGUAAUUGCUAAAUACUUUCAUCAACAAUUCAAGAUGAUAUAUAUGGAUAUCUUGUGUUUGUGUGUACACAUAUAUAUGUGAAUUAUAUUGAUGAUAUAUGAAUGGCCCAGAUUUGGUGAAAUCCAGCUUCCCCUAUAUUUUGCAGUUGAGAUAUGCAUGUCUUUCAAUUUCAUUAGGAAUUAUGUUAUGUGUAUAUAUCUUUUUUGUUUNGUUUCCACCCUCCGACGCCGCUUACAGCCUGGAGUCACCGCAUACUCCAGCCUGCCUUUCUCUCUAUUUCAAUUCGCUUAUCAUUCUAUUUUGCUAUUCCGAUACUGACUUGAGCGUCGGAGGCUCUACGGUCGACACCCCCACCCGGUGCUCAACCUAGGGCUCUUACGUGUUCUUGUGUUGACAGGUUGCUAGUGCCCAAACUAUCCGGACGUGCAGACGUCAACUUCAAUUGUAGAUUUUAGCCUCUACAAUAACUAUAAAAUUGUCAUUUAAUUUUGAAAGUGAUUCUCAAUUGAAAGUUGUUUUUUUAAUGUAUUAUAGAUCAUAGAUUAUAGAUAUAGAUAUAGGUUAAUAAUUUACAUUACACGUACCCUCCAGCUGGACAAAAUCAACGCUACAAGUUGUAGAUCAAAAAGAAAGAGUAGUUACCAAUACAUUUCACGCGAUAAACUACAUUUUUUUGUUUAGACAUUGGAAUAGAAAAUUCAACAUUUUCUCCGAGGAAAAUCUCGUUUUCUUACUCCAUUUACAACAAAUGUCACAUCCCACAGUUGAAGUCUAUUUUUCUAAAUUACAAAUCACCCAAAACAAAAAAAUAUUUUUCACUCUGUUUUAGCCAAUACCGACCUCGCUACGCAGCAAACAUGUGUACAGUAAAAUAAAAUAAACACAGAGAGAGACUAUAAGUAUCCAAUAUUUCGUGAACAAAAAAUAAACGCAGUUAAACCCACAACUUCUCUGCAAAACAUCCAGCAUCACAUUUUCACUCACAAAUGGAAAAUCCCUGGUUACUAUUAGCCCUACUUUCCGCCCUUGCAAUAGCCUUCAUCUCAAAGAUAGUAUUCAAAACUGAUCAAAAACUCGGGCCGCCCGGUCCAAAACCAUGGCCUAUAAUAGGCAAUCUGAACCUUCUUGGCUCAAUCCCACAUCAAUCCCUCCACCAUUUAUCCCAAAAAUACGGCGAAAUAAUGUUACUAAAGUUGGGAAAAUUUCCAGUGGUGGUGGCAUCAUCACCCAAGAUGGCCGAGCAGUUCCUCAAGGUGCAC